RNAcentral lists this transfer RNA (66 nucleotides) under Mareca penelope (Eurasian wigeon). RNAcentral's name for it is "tRNA-Cys". The record is from RNAcentral. RNAcentral also lists the same sequence under 2 other names. Lineage: Eukaryota; Metazoa; Chordata; Aves; Anseriformes; Anatidae.
GGCUCCGUGGUGAAGUUCAUGUUGAGUUGCAAGCUCAUCGAUGUGCACGAGAGUGUGCCGGGGCCU